This 1299-nucleotide ribosomal RNA is filed under the name Salmonella enterica. RNAcentral's name for it is "partial 23S ribosomal RNA". It matches the Rfam family "Bacterial large subunit ribosomal RNA", at positions 711 to 1990 of the family's 2925-position model. Lineage: Bacteria; Pseudomonadati; Pseudomonadota; Gammaproteobacteria; Enterobacterales; Enterobacteriaceae. The record is from RNAcentral.
AGACCCGAAACCCGGUGAUCUAGCCAUGGGCAGGUUGAAGGUUGGGUAACACUAACUGGAGGACCGAACCGACUAAUGUUGAAAAAUUAGCGGAUGACCUGUGGCUGGGGGUGAAAGGCCAAUCAAACCGGGAGAUAGCUGGUUCUCCCCGAAAGCUAUUUAGGUAGCGCCUCGUGAAUUCAUCUCCGGGGGUAGAGCACUGUUUCGGCUAGGGGGCCAUCCCGGCUUACCAACCCGAUGCAAACUGCGAAUACCGGAGAAUGUUAUCACGGGAGACACACGGCGGGUGCUAACGUCCGUCGUGAAGAGGGAAACAACCCAGACCGCCAGCUAAGGUCCCAAAGUCAUGGUUAAGUGGGAAACGAUGUGGGAAGGCCCAGACAGCCAGGAUGUUGGCUUAGAAGCAGCCAUCAUUUAAAGAAAGCGUAAUAGCUCACUGGUCGAGUCGGCCUGCGCGGAAGAUGUAACGGGGCUAAACCAUGCACCGAAGCUGCGGCAGCGACGCUGAUGCGUUGUUGGGUAGGGGAGCGUUCUGUAAGCCUGUGAAGGUGGCCUGUGAGGGUUGCUGGAGGUAUCAGAAGUGCGAAUGCUGACAUAAGUAACGAUAAAGCGGGUGAAAAGCCCGCUCGCCGGAAGACCAAGGGUUCCUGUCCAACGUUAAUCGGGGCAGGGUGAGUCGACCCCUAAGGCGAGGCCGAAAGGCGUAGUCGAUGGGAAACGGGUUAAUAUUCCCGUACUUGGUGUUACUGCGAAGGGGGGACGGAGAAGGCUAUGUUGGCCGGGCGACGGUUGUCCCGGUUUAAGCGUGUAGGUGUGUGUUCCAGGUAAAUCCGGUUCACUUUAACACUGAGGCGUGAUGACGAGGCACUACGGUGCUGAAGCAACAAAUGCCCUGCUUCCAGGAAAAGCCUCUAAGCAUCAGGUAACAUCAAAUCGUACCCCAAACCGACACAGGUGGUCAGGUAGAGAAUACCAAGGCGCUUGAGAGAACUCGGGUGAAGGAACUAGGCAAAAUGGUGCCGUAACUUCGGGAGAAGGCACGCUGACACGUAGGUGAAGUGAUUUACUCAUGGAGCUGAAGUCAGUCGAAGAUACCAGCUGGCUGCAACUGUUUAUUAAAAACACAGCACUGUGCAAACACGAAAGUGGACGUAUACGGUGUGACGCCUGCCCGGUGCCGGAAGGUUAAUUGAUGGGGUCAGCGCAAGCGAAGCUCCUGAUCGAAGCCCCGGUAAACGGCGGCCGUAACUAUAACGGUCCUAAGGUAGCGAAAUUCCUUGUCGGGUAAGUUCCGACCUG